Molecule: ribosomal RNA, 488 nt
Filed under: uncultured bacterium
Lineage: Bacteria
Description: partial 16S ribosomal RNA
Rfam family: Bacterial small subunit ribosomal RNA
Source: RNAcentral
UGAACGCUGGCGGCAGGCCUAACACAUGCAAGUCGAACGGUAACAGGCAGCAGCUUGCUGCUUUGCUGACGAGUGGCGGACGGGUGAGUAAUGUCUGGGAAACUGCCCGAUGGAGGGGGAUAACUACUGGAAACGGUAGCUAAUACCGCAUAACGUCGCAAGACCAAAGAGGGGGACCUUAGGGCCUCUUGCCAUCGGAUGUGCCCAGAUGGGAUUAGCUAGUAGGUGGGGUAACGGCUCACCUAGGCGACGAUCCCUAGCUGGUCUGAGAGGAUGACCAGCCACACUGGAACUGAGACACGGUCCAGACUCCUACGGGAGGCAGCAGUGGGGAAUAUUGCACAAUGGGCGCAAGCCUGAUGCAGCCAUGCCGCGUGUAUGAAGAAGGCCUUCGGGUUGUAAAGUACUUUCAGCGGGGAGGAAGGGAGUAAAGUUAAUACCUUUGCUCAUUGACGUUACCCGCAGAAGAAGCACCGGCUAACUCCGUG